This 496-nucleotide ribosomal RNA is filed under the name uncultured bacterium. RNAcentral's name for it is "partial 16S ribosomal RNA". It matches the Rfam family "Bacterial small subunit ribosomal RNA", at positions 28 to 507 of the family's 1533-position model. The record is from RNAcentral.
GAUGAACGCUGGCGGCGUGCCUAAUACAUGCCAGUCGAGCGAACAGACGAGGAGCUUGCUCCUCUGACGUUAGCGGCGGACGGGUGAGAACACGUGGAUAACCUACCUAUAAGACUGGGAUAACUUCGGGAAACCGGAGCUAAUACCGGAUAAUAUAUUGAACCGCAUGGUUCAAUAGUGAAAGACGGUUUUGCUGUCACUUAUAGAUGGAUCCGCGCCGCAUUAGCUAGUUGGUAAGGUAACGGCUUACCAAGGCAACGAUGCGUAGCCGACCUGAGAGGGUGAUCGGCCACACUGGAACUGAGACACGGUCCAGACUCCUACGGGAGGCAGCAGUAGGGAAUCUUCCGCAAUGGGCGAAAGCCUGACGGAGCAACGCCGCGUGAGUGAUGAAGGUCUUCGGAUCGUAAAACUCUGUUAUUAGGGAAGAACAAAUGUGUAAGUAACUAUGCACGUCUUGACGGUACCUAAUCAGAAAGCCACGGCUAACUACGUG